GCCGGGUUGGCCCAAUGGUAAGGCGUGACUUUCCUACGCAAUAGGCACAGGUCGAGAUUCUGGGUUCGACCCCCAGGCCUGGUU
Molecule: non-coding RNA, 84 nt
Organism: Filobasidium floriforme
Lineage: Eukaryota; Fungi; Basidiomycota; Tremellomycetes; Filobasidiales; Filobasidiaceae
Source: the annotation of a RefSeq genome assembly